Molecule: ribosomal RNA, 303 nt
Filed under: uncultured bacterium
Lineage: Bacteria
Description: partial 16S ribosomal RNA
Rfam family: Bacterial small subunit ribosomal RNA
Source: RNAcentral
AGCAGUCGCCACGGGAACACGGAGGGUGCAAGCGUUAAUCGGAAUUACUGGGCGUAAAGCGCACGCAGGCGGUCUGUCAAGUCAGAUGUGAAAUCCCCGGGCUUAACCUGGGAACUGCAUUUGAAACUGGCAGGCUAGAGUCUUGUAGAGGGGGGUAGAAUUCCAGGUGUAGCGGUGAAAUGCGUAGAGAUCUGGAGGAAUACCGAUGGCGAAGGCAGCCAUCUGGCCUAAUACUGACGCUGAGGUACGAAAGCAUGGGGAGCAAACAGGAUUAGAUACCCGAGUAGUCCCUGUCUCUUAUAC